GUUUAAAUGACCAAUGAGCAUGGCUAUUUGGGUUGAUUGGCAGUUGCCAUUCUUUAGAAUUAUUGUUUUGAUUGACAGGCAGGCCGUUGUCAAGGAGAAGGGCGAGUCUCGCGGCGUCUCCAGGGGAAGCCCCCUCCCUGCUGCAUUACUUUCAACAGCUUCAUCACUGCGAUGGGUUAUUUAAUUUUGGUACACUUUCCCCACAAAUAUGCUUUGUUGUACUUUUGGAUGUACUUCUCCGUAUUCUGUAAGGACCUCUGCGGUUUUGGCAAAACAACAAACCACACUUCACCUGGAAAACAGAGCCAGGACUCACUGUCAGAUGUCUGAAAAUGUACAGUACACGCCAGCAGGUCUCACCAUAGUCAACAUCAUUAAGGAUUUGGCUCUCUGACCUGAGAAGAGGCCCCAUAAACACACCUGACAAGGACCAGCCACUGUUGCCAGUGCACAACUGAGGA
Long non-coding RNA from Engraulis encrasicolus (European anchovy), 461 nucleotides. RefSeq lists it as uncharacterized. The record is from RefSeq and is a predicted model, not a curated record. The transcript has 3 exons. Lineage: Eukaryota; Metazoa; Chordata; Actinopteri; Clupeiformes; Engraulidae.